RNAcentral lists this ribosomal RNA (436 nucleotides) under uncultured Clostridium sp. RNAcentral's name for it is "partial 16S ribosomal RNA". It matches the Rfam family "Bacterial small subunit ribosomal RNA", at positions 341 to 791 of the family's 1533-position model. The record is from RNAcentral. Lineage: Bacteria; Bacillati; Bacillota; Clostridia; Eubacteriales; Clostridiaceae.
ACGGAAGGCAGCAGUGGGGAAUAUUGGGCAAUGGGCGCAAGCCUGACCCAGCAACGCCGCGUGAAGGAAGAAGGCUUUCGGGUUGUAAACUUCUUUUAUCAGGGACGAAGAAAGUGACGGUACCUGAUGAAUAAGCCACGGCUAACUACGUGCCAGCAGCCGCGGUAAUACGUAGGUGGCAAGCGUUGUCCGGAUUUACUGGGUGUAAAGGGUGAGUAGGCGGGAAGGCAAGUCAGAUGUGAAAUGCAGGAGCUCAACUCCUGAGCUGCAUUUGAAACUGUUUUUCUUGAGAGUCGGAGGGGUAAUCGGAAUUCCCAGUGUAGCGGUGAAAUGCGCAGAGAUUGGGAGGAACACCAGUGGCGAAGGCGGAUUACUGGACGACAACUGACGCUGAUACACGAAAGCGUGGGGAGCAAACAGGAUUAGAUACCCUGUA